UACGUAGGGCGCAAGCGUUGUCCGGAUUUAUUGGGCGUAAAGAGCUCGUAGGCGGUCUGGCGCGUCGGCUGUGAAAGCCCGAGGCUCAACCUCGGGCCUGCAGUCGAUACGGGCAGACUAGAGUGUGGUAGGGGAGACUGGAAUUCCUGGUGUAGCGGUGAAAUGCGCAGAUAUCAGGAGGAACACCGGUGGCGAAGGCGGGUCUCUGGGCCAUAACUGACGCUGAGGAGCGAAAGCGUGGGGAGCGAACAGG
This 253-nucleotide ribosomal RNA is filed under the name uncultured bacterium. RNAcentral describes it as "partial 16S ribosomal RNA". It matches the Rfam family "Bacterial small subunit ribosomal RNA", at positions 524 to 776 of the family's 1533-position model. The record is from RNAcentral.